Cornus florida is the source of this 2074-nucleotide long non-coding RNA. RefSeq lists it as uncharacterized. Lineage: Eukaryota; Viridiplantae; Streptophyta; Magnoliopsida; Cornales; Cornaceae. The transcript is spliced from 3 exons. The record is from RefSeq and is a predicted model, not a curated record.
CUGAUUUCUUAGCGCAUUUCAAACUCACCCAUCAAAGUCUCAGAGCUCAUUCCUUGAAGAACAAUUGCACUCUCAGGUUCCUCCAAACAUCUAUCUAUAUAUGUAUGUAUGUAUAUAUAUGUGUAUGUUACAUUUUCUAUCUUGAAAAUUUGGGGAUGAUUUUUUUUAGCUUACUCAUCUUUAGUUUCUAACUUAUAUCUCUAGCAGGGACAAUCACAAUGGUGAUAUCGAAGUGUAUAGGAAUUGUUGAUUAUUAGUGGGUUAUUUAAGAUUAAAAGUAGGGUUAAAAGAUUUCUGUAUGUUAUUUUGUUUCCCUUUGUAAUUGGCAUUAUAUUUGUAUUUGCAUUACACUGAAGAGCCAUGUGCUUCUACAUUGUUUGUGAAAGUCGGAGAAGAAGACAGAAAGAAUCUCUGUUAUAAACCUUUUCCCCAUUUUUAUUUUUUCAUUUGUAGCUCAGAGGAAAAAAAAUUGUGAAAAAUUUUCAUGACUAAAAAUGAGGACUUUAACCUCCUCAAGACUUAGGUUUCUCUCAUAGUUGGUAAGUAAUUUAUCCCAAAACUUUUACGGUGAACAACAGUGGCCGGUUCCGUCACAGAACCAGCCAAUAUAGCGGCUAGUUCGCUAGGAAAAAUUUUGACCCGUUUUUGCUUGUGGGUCGUGGACCCUAAUUUGUACUCUCUUGUAGCUCGAUUUAUAAAGGCGAUUAGGGUUUGAAGCGGGAAAUAGUGAAAACUUUCGAUGGAUCUCCACCUGGAUGUAGGCUUUGCCGAACCACGCUAAAUCUUUAUGUUCUUUGUGUGUGGUGUGAUUACUGUUUCUUGAUUUAUUCUCGGGUUCGCUGAGUUUUUCGUAACAUAUUGUAAUGCAGGUAAUAUACAUUUUAAACAGUUAUAUGAAUUAUCCACUUGAAUAUUGAAGUAUGACAAAACCUUUUCAUGAGAUUAGAGGCUAUCGGGAACCAAAAAUCAUGUCUGUCAAUACCAAAUGCUCUUGAGCUUUCAUACUGCCCUGCUCCAAGUCUCAAACUAAUGCCUCUCACUUUAUCAUCUUAGGAGCUGAUAUCUUCUAUUAAAGCUUGUCUUGCUUUGUACAUGCAUAUAGUUGGGUAGACGCAAUGCUUCGCAACAAUUCCCUGGCAUGUUUUCGUGAAGGGGGAAACGCCAACGAAAGGAGGCACCAAAAAGAUCAAAUGUUUUCGGAAAGGUCUCUGCAAGAGGUUUUGAUCUUUUUUUAUCAACCUCUCUAGUAAGGUUCACAACAAGUCUGCUUAGAGUUGCAGAUGAAUCAUUAUACUUGUCCUCCAUUUCCAGCAGCCUUUGAUUACACUUGCGCUCCAUUUCCUGCGGCCUUUGAUUUUUGCUAUCGUUCUCCAUGGUGGUUUUCGUACUGCUGUUUGUUUACAAGAGUUUUCAACCAAAUGGUUUGAAGUUUGAGGAAAUCAAUGGGGAAAACAACUGCCAUCUUCACCAUUGUUGCGAAGCUUCAAAGUUAACAAGAGGGGUUAUCCAAAUUCUUGCAGUGGUUGGAGAUCGAGGCAGUUCAAACUUCGUACUUCCAUAAAUCUUCAACAAUUAGCUCAGGUGAGGCACGUUUUGACUUUGCGUUGAUGUGAGUGGUAAAAGAGGUGUAUAGAGAAUAGUAUAAAUGCUGUAAACUAUAGUAUGGAUUGGGCAAAAUAAGAGGCAAUUGUCUCUCCAUGUGGGUAAGUUUUGAACUCCAGAAUUGGGUACAAAACUUGGUAGUACUUCUUUUAGAAUGUUUCUAUUCAGGAACUACUCUGAAGAUGUGUUUAGCAGAGCAUAUUUUAAGAAAAUUUCUUGGGAGGAUCUGCAUUUAGAGAAGUAUUAAAACAAAUAUUGGAAUAUACUGAAUAUAAUUGUUUUAUAAAGUUUGCCAUUUUGGUCUUCAGAAAUGCAAAAAAAAAAAAAAAAAAAAAAAAAAAAAAAAAAAAAAUGAAAGAAUUUAUCAAGUGCAUGAAAUUUGUUUAACACCAGCAAAGAAUUUCAGAAAAAUGGAUGUUUUCAUGUACUACACACAGUAUCUGUGAAGAUCUUGCUUGAUUUUCUAAAUCUG